Molecule: ribosomal RNA, 439 nt
Filed under: uncultured bacterium
Lineage: Bacteria
Description: partial 16S ribosomal RNA
Rfam family: Bacterial small subunit ribosomal RNA
Source: RNAcentral
CCUACGGGCGGCAGCAGUGGGGAAUAUUGCACAAUGGGGGAAACCCUGAUGCAGCGACGCCGCGUGAGUGAAGAAGUAUUUCGGUAUGUAAAGCUCUAUCAGCAGGGAAGAAAAUGACGGUACCUGAUUAAGAAGCCACGGCUAACUACGUGCCAGCAGCCGCGGUAAUACGUAGGGGGCAAUCGGUAUCCGGAUUUACUGGUUGAAAAGGGAGCGUAGACGGCAGCACAAGUCUGGAGUGAAAUGCUGGGGCUUAACCCCGGAACUGCUUUGGAAACUGUGCAGCUAGAGUGCAGGAGAGGGAAGAGGAAUUCCUAGUGUAGCGGUGAAAUGCGGAGAUAGUAGGAGGAACACCAGUGGCGAAGGCGGCUUACUGGACUGUAACUGACGUUGAGGCUCGAAAGCGUGGGGAGCAAACAGGAUUAGAUACCCUAGUAGC